UGCGACUGAGCGAAAGCAUUAAGUGAUCCACCUGGGGAGUACGUCGGCAACGAUGAAACUCAAAGGAAUUGACGGGGGCCCGCACAAGCGGUGGAACAUGUGGUUUAAUUCGAUGAUACGCGAGGAACCUUACCUGGGCUUAAAUGUAGAGCGACUUUCGCCGAAAGGCGAUUUUCCUUCGGGACGAUCUACAAGGUGCUGCAUGGUUGUCGUCAGCUCGUGCCGUGAGGUGUCGGGUUAAGUCCCAUAACGAGCGCAACCCCUAUUGUUAGUUACCAGCGGAUAAUGCCGGGGACUCUAGCGAGACUGCCACCGUAAGGUGAGAGGAAGGUGGGGAUGACGUCAAAUCAGCACGGCCCUUAUGUCCAGGGCUACACACGUGUUACAAUGGUCGGUACAGAGGGCAGCUACCUGGUGACAGGAUGCAAAUCUCACAAAACCGAUCUCAGUUCGGAUCGGAGUCUGCAACUCGACUCCGUGAAGUUGGAAUCGCUAGUAAUCGCGUAUCAGCAACGACGCGGUGAAUACGUUCCCGGGCCUUGUACACACCGCCCGUCAAGCCAUGGAAGCUGGGGGUACCUGAAGUC
This 587-nucleotide ribosomal RNA is filed under the name uncultured bacterium. RNAcentral's name for it is "bacterial SSU rRNA". It matches the Rfam family "Bacterial small subunit ribosomal RNA", at positions 842 to 1428 of the family's 1533-position model. The record is from RNAcentral.